GUCUAUUUGGAGUUUUAAGAAGUUUGGCCUGCCCACUGAUAUAAAAUUUUUAAGGGCCGCGGUAUUAUGACCGUGCUAAGGUAGCAUAAUCAUUAGGUUUUUAAAUGAGAUCUUGUAUGAAUGGUUGAACAAAGAAAAAACUGUCUUUAAUAAUAAAAUUUGAAUUUUACUUUUAAGUGAGAAGGCUUAAAUAAUUUAAGGGGACGAUAAGACCCUAUAAAACUUUACAUUAAAAUUAUAUUUGGUUGAAUUUUAAAGUGAUAAAGAUCUAAAAUAAAGAUUGUUGUGUUGGGGCGACAAAAGUAGAAAUUAUAGUAGCUGCUUGAAAAGGAAUCACUUUUAAGUGAUAAAAGUUAUAGAUCUUAAUUAUAAAUUUAAAGAUUAAGUUACUUUAGGGAUAACAGUGUAAUUUUUUUUUGAGAGUUCAUAUCGAAAAAAAAGUUUGUAACCUCGAUGUUGAAUUAAAAUAUCUAUAUAAUGAAGUAGUUGUAUAAGAGGGUCUGUUCGACCUUUAAUUUUUUACAUGAUUUGAGUUCAAAUCGGCGUGAG
RNAcentral lists this ribosomal RNA (549 nucleotides) under Somanniathelphusa taiwanensis. Its description in RNAcentral is "partial 16S rRNA". It matches the Rfam family "Bacterial large subunit ribosomal RNA", at positions 1831 to 2625 of the family's 2925-position model. The record is from RNAcentral. Lineage: Eukaryota; Metazoa; Arthropoda; Malacostraca; Decapoda; Parathelphusidae.